This 565-nucleotide long non-coding RNA is filed under the name Gossypium barbadense (sea-island cotton). RNAcentral's name for it is "long non-coding RNA (GBAR_LNC014718)". Lineage: Eukaryota; Viridiplantae; Streptophyta; Magnoliopsida; Malvales; Malvaceae. The record is from RNAcentral.
AAGUUAGAUCACAGGAAACGACGCCGUUUUUGUCUCCUCAACUAACGGAGGACGAAAUUGAAAACAAGAUCAAAUUAAGUGGAAAAAUUAAAAAAAAACAAAAAGGAUUAAAUUCAAACAAAUCGAGAAAACAGAAGGACUAACACACAAAUAGGCCAUUGAAACAAAAUGCGCGGAUUUUCCCCGGGUCAAGUCGGGUCGCACACGGUUGAGCAAAUAUGACUCGUUUUGGGGCCACUGAUGCAGGCCCUAAACGACGCCAUUUCUUUCGCUGUACAAAACCUGUUUUGAAACCCUAAGUUAGCAGCCACCAGUGAAUCAACAAAAUCAAAUGCCUCUGCCUCAAAAUCAUGCUCUCAAACUGGCCGUUCUAAGAUCCCUCACUCGAUCACCGAUUGCAACGGAGUAAGCAAGGAAUCGAUCGCCAGGUAAACUCUUCAUUCUCUCACCUCUCUUUCUCUUUUAUUUUAGUACCAUUAAUGAACAAAAUGAGUAAAGAAAAAAAACAAAGAAAAGCGAAUAAAAGUUUAAAAUCACCUCUUUUUUUCAAAACUGCUAUUCAAUU